AUUGAACGCUGGCGGCAGGCCUAACACAUGCAAGUCGAGCGGAUGAAGGGAGCUUGCUCCUGGAUUCAGCGGCGGACGGGUGAGUAAUGCCUAGGAAUCUGCCUGGUAGUGGGGGAUAACGUCCGGAAACGGGCGCUAAUACCGCAUACGUCCUGAGGGAGAAAGUGGGGGAUCUUCGGACCUCACGCUAUCAGAUGAGCCUAGGUCGGAUUAGCUAGUUGGUGGGGUAAAGGCCUACCAAGGCGACGAUCCGUAACUGGUCUGAGAGGAUGAUCAGUCACACGGGAACUGAGACACGGUCCAGACUCCUACGGGAGGCAGCAGUGGGGAAUAUUGGACAAUGGGCGAAGGCCUGAUCCAGCCAUGCCGCGUGUGUGAAGAAGGUCUUCGGAUUGUAAAGCACUUUAAGUUGGGAGGAAGGGCAGUAAGUUAAUACCUUGCUGUUUUGACGUUACCAACAGAAUAAGCACCGGCUAACUUCGUG
Molecule: ribosomal RNA, 484 nt
Filed under: uncultured bacterium
Lineage: Bacteria
Description: partial 16S ribosomal RNA
Rfam family: Bacterial small subunit ribosomal RNA
Source: RNAcentral